AUGAACGCUGGCGGCGUGCUUAACACAUGCAAGUCGAACGGUGAAGGAGAGCUUGCUCUCUGGAUCAGUGGCGAACGGGUGAGUAACACGUGAGCAAUCUGCCCCUGACUCUGGGAUAAGCGCUGGAAACGGCGUCUAAUACCGGAUACGAGCUGCGAAGGCAUCUUCAGCAGCUGGAAAGAACUUCGGUCAGGGAUGAGCUCGCGGCCUAUCAGCUAGUUGGUGAGGUAACGGCUCACCAAGGCGUCGACGGGUAGCCGGCCUGAGAGGGUGACCGGCCACACUGGGACUGAGACACGGCCCAGACUCCUACGGGAGGCAGCAGUGGGGAAUAUUGCACAAUGGGCGCAAGCCUGAUGCAGCAACGCCGCGUGAGGGACGACGGCCUUCGGGUUGUAAACCUCUUUUAGCAGGGAAGAAGCGAAAGUGACGGUACCUGCAGAAAAAGCACCGGCUAACUACGUGCCAGCAGCCGCGGUAAUACGUAGGGUGCAAGCGUUAUCCGGAAUUAUUGGGCGUAAAGAGCUCGUAGGCGGUUUGUCGCGUCUGCUGUGAAAACCCGAGGCUCAACCUCGGGCCUGCAGUGGGUACGGGCAGACUAGAGUGCGGUAGGGGAGAUUGGAAUUCCUGGUGUAGCGGUGGAAUGCGCAGAUAUCAGGAGGAACACCGAUGGCGAAGGCAGAUCUCUGGGCCGUAACUGACGCUGAGGAGCGAAAGGGUGGGGAGCAAACAGGCUUAGAUACCCUGGUAGUCCACCCCGUAAACGUUGGGAACUAGUUGUGGGGUCCAUUCCACGGAUUCCGUGACGCAGCUAACGC
Molecule: ribosomal RNA, 818 nt
Filed under: bacterium
Lineage: Bacteria
Description: bacterial SSU rRNA
Rfam family: Bacterial small subunit ribosomal RNA
Source: RNAcentral